This 329-nucleotide unclassified non-coding RNA is filed under the name soil metagenome. Its description in RNAcentral is "partial contains 5.8S ribosomal RNA, internal transcribed spacer 2, and large subunit ribosomal RNA". The stretch from base 1 to 120 matches the Rfam family "5.8S ribosomal RNA", at positions 35 to 154 of the family's 154-position model. The record is from RNAcentral.
GAUGAAGAACGCAGCGAAAUGCGAUAAGUAGUGUGAAUUGCAGAAUUCAGUGAAUCAUCGAAUCUUUGAACGCACAUUGCGCCCCUUGGUAUCCCGAGGGGCGUGCCUGUUCGAGCGUCAUUUCACCACUCAAGCCUGGCUUGGUGUUGGGCGACGUCCCCUUUAGGGACGCGCCUCGAAACGCUCGGCGGCGUGGCACCGGCUUUAAGCGUAGCAGAAUCUUUCGCUUUGGAAGUCGGGGCCCCGCCUGCCGGAAUACCUACUCGUAAGGUUGACCUCGGAUCAGGCAGGGAUACCCGCUGAACUUAAGCAUAUCAAUAAGCGGAGGA